AGGAUUAAUAUUUGAUUAAAGUUAGGAUUAGGAUUUUGAAUUUAAUUUAAGAUUUGAUUAAAGUUAGGAUUUGAUUUAGAUUAGGAUUUGGUUAGAAUUUAUUUAAGAUUUGAUUAAGAUUUGUUUAGGAUUUAGUUAGGGCUUAUUUGAGAUUUUUCUAGGAUUUAACUAGGAUUUAAUUAGGAUUUGGUUAGGAUUUAUUUAAGAUUUUAUUAGGAUUUGAUUAGAGUUUGACUAGGAUUUUUUUAAGAUUUAGUUAAGGCUUAUUUAGGAUUUGUUUAGGAUUUGAUUAGGAUUUGACUAAGAUUUGAUUAAGGUUUGACUAGAUAUUGACUUGAAUUUAAUUAAGGUUUUUAUUUUAAUAUUUCAUUAAGAUUUCUAUUUUAUUAUAAUUUUUUUGAAUUUCUAUAUUAUUCUUUUAUAAUUUUUUUAAAAGAUUUUUAGGAAUUCUUUGUAUUUCUUGUAUAAUU
This 470-nucleotide long non-coding RNA is filed under the name Physcomitrium patens. RNAcentral describes it as "long non-coding RNA (PPAT_LNC013502)". Lineage: Eukaryota; Viridiplantae; Streptophyta; Bryopsida; Funariales; Funariaceae. The record is from RNAcentral.